This 465-nucleotide ribosomal RNA is filed under the name Vreelandella stevensii. Its description in RNAcentral is "partial 16S ribosomal RNA". It matches the Rfam family "Bacterial small subunit ribosomal RNA", at positions 338 to 795 of the family's 1533-position model. Lineage: Bacteria; Pseudomonadati; Pseudomonadota; Gammaproteobacteria; Oceanospirillales; Halomonadaceae. The record is from RNAcentral.
CCUACGGGAGGCAGCAGUGGGGAAUAUUGGACAAUGGGGGGAACCCUGAUCCAGCCAUGCCGCGUGUGUGAAGAAGGCCCUCGGGUUGUAAAGCACUUUCAGUGAGGAAGAACGCCUGGUGGUUAAUACCCAUCAGGAAAGACAUCACUCACAGAAGAAGCACCGGCUAACUCCGUGCCAGCAGCCGCGGUAAUACGGAGGGUGCGAGCGUUAAUCGGAAUUACUGGGCGUAAAGCGCGCGUAGGUGGCUUGAUAAGCCGGUUGUGAAAGCCCCGGGCUCAACCUGGGAACGGCAUCCGGAACUGUCAAGCUAGAGGGCAGGAGAGGAAGGUAGAAUUCCCGGUGUAGCGGUGAAAUGCGUAGAGAUCGGGAGGAAUACCAGUGGCGAAGGCGGCCUUCUGGACUGACACUGACACUGAGGUGCGAAAGCGUGGGUAGCAAACAGGAAUAGAUACCCUGGUAGUC